RNAcentral lists this long non-coding RNA (1855 nucleotides) under Marmota monax (woodchuck). Lineage: Eukaryota; Metazoa; Chordata; Mammalia; Rodentia; Sciuridae. The record is from RNAcentral.
UGGAGACCUGCCGGAUGUAGGUGCUGACGUUCCCCCUCUAGCUUGCAGGGUAGACUCAAGCCCCGCUGGACAGAGGUGAAGAAUUGUGGACAUGGGGCACUUGGCAGGGCUCUGGGUGGGAGAGGUGUGGCUUGGGCCACCUGAUGGCUGACGGUGGACAUUCAGUGCGAGGAUCGUCCCGUGCCCCCCAGGCUCCAGUGCCCACCACCAGCUGAGCCGCACCGGCCCCUGGUGGGCUGGCGACAUGGCACAGGCUGCUCCCACGGUGGCACCAAGAAUGGAGCAGGGGCUGACAAGCCAGCAGAGCAGCAGCACGCAGACUGACUGACCACAGGAAAAGGCCGGACGCGAAGCACAGCUCCCCAGCUCUGCCUGCACAGUGUGGGCCAAGAGCCUGUGACGGCAUGAACUUCCACCCGCUCCGUUGAUGACGUCGUCACCUCCCGUUCCCCAAGCCCACGGUCGUCAGAAGCUGGAUGCCGUGUCUUCACUGGCACUGAGCUCUGCCCAGGUCUUUGCCACAGGUGUGUCACAUCAGCGACUCUUGGCUGCCGUGAGCGAGGUGGCCCCAGCAACAGAACUGAGCCGUGUCCAGCUCUGGGGGCAGGAGGCUCAAGGGUAACCUCCCAUCCUGUGGCCAAGAGUAGUCAGCAGACGCUUCCUAAGGGACAUCAUUGUGUGUGCCCAAGCCCAGCAGCACACGUGGCUGAGAAGUUCCACAUGGGGCUGGACAGUGGGGUCACCAGUAUCACAGAGUCACAGGCUGCUGGCAGGAAGGGCUGAUGGUGGUCCUUGGGAUCCAGGCGUGGUGAGCAAAUGGCCCCCAAUGUCCAUACCCAAAUUCCUGGAUUUCAAGAGUGUUGUGUUGUGUGAGGGAUGACCUUGGUAUAAUCAAGAUGGGGCACCUUAAAAUAGGCAGUUAUCCUGGACUACCUAGAGGGCCCCGUCCGACCACAUGAGCCUUGAGGGCAGAGAAGUUUCCUGGCUGGAAGCGACAGAAGUGAGGCAGGGGGUCAGCAAGAGCUGAGGCCAAGAGCCCAGCCCACUCUGCUGGCUUUGAAGGUGGAGGGGCCAGAACACGUGGUGUCCCUCAUGCUGAGAAGGAGCCCCAGCUGAUGGACAGGGAGCACACAGAGCCUCUCCCACCACCACAGCCUGAGUGAGCAUCCUGCCGAGAACCAGCUGACUGGCUCCGUAUUUCAAACCAGAGCAGGAAACCCAUGAGGCCAGUCCAAGAGCUGACUGCAGAUGGGGACAGUACAUUUGUGCUGUCUCUGUUGCUAGACGGAUGCUAACUUGCUACAGCAGCAACAGUGAGCACUAGGUGUCCACUGCCUUUAGUACCAGAGGUGAGGUCGGCUUUAACGUCCCUCCCGGCACCCUCACUGACACUUCUGCAGGGCCUGGGGUCAGGCGGGCAGCACGUGCCUCGUGGUCUGCUCCAGGACUGAGCUCCUGUUUCUACUUGGUGUCUUGUGGAGUGCUGGCUAUUGGACUGGUGGCACUGGCCCUCUGCUUUUGCCCAGCAAGGAACAUGCUAGGAAGGCCUGCCACAGGACAAGCCACCUGUGGUGGGCCCAUGUCACCUCUCUGUAGACCAGUGGGCAGCCUGCCCCUGCCCAGUGGGCCUAGCCAGGACCAGCCCUGCCUGAUGCUCCAGAGCUGGAGCAGCAAGCACCCCUACGUGUCACCAAGGUCUGGACAUCACUUGUCUCGUGUCACCAUGGUGGCACCAGGUCAGGCACAGUGGCCUGAAGGGAUUUGGGUCCGGCCGUCAGUGGCUGUACUCUUCUGGCUUUCUCCCGCCCCAGCCGACGUUCCAACCUCAGUUAGCAGGCUCCUCUCUCCUCCUCCC